UACAGAGACUGCAAGCGUUAUUCGGAUUCACUGGGCGUAAAGGGCGCGCAGGCGGCUCAUUUUGUCAGGCGUGAAAGCCCCGGGCUUAACCUGGGAGGUGCGUUUGAUACGGAUGGGCUAGAGUUCGGGAGAGGAGAGUGGAAUUCCCAGUGUAGAGGUGAAAUUCGUAGAUAUUGGGAAGAACACCGGUGGCGAAGGCGGCUCUCUGGACCGAGACUGACGCUGAGGCGCGAAAGCGUGGGGAGCAAACAGG
This 253-nucleotide ribosomal RNA is filed under the name uncultured bacterium. RNAcentral describes it as "partial 16S ribosomal RNA". It matches the Rfam family "Bacterial small subunit ribosomal RNA", at positions 524 to 776 of the family's 1533-position model. The record is from RNAcentral.